CAUACUUAGUGUUGUGUUCGGUAUACAUAAAUAACAUUAUAAAAGUAAUUUCUGUCCUUGAAAAAAAACCAAUAAAUAAGUGUGGAUUCACUUAAAGGGUUAUUCCAUCCACCAUGACCACUUCAGUGAUUCAAAGUGGUCCUGGUGGUAGAAGUAAGAUGUGCAUAACUUUAGCAUGAAACACUGCACAUACAAAAAUAUUUUUAAUUAUCUAUUGAGGCUAGUUGCAUCCCCGGCACACAUGACAUUGACAGAUCUCCAUUACAAACUACCUAAAGUUAAUUUUGUGCAUAUUUUGCAUUUAUCAUCAGUACAUACUGCACACUGGUGAAAUAUGUGUUUAUCUUCCCCCUUGAAGACUGGUUCAACCUCUCUCUCACUCAUUGUGUGCUCUUUCCUCUUAAAAAACAGACACUUCCCUCCCUCCAAAUCCUGGCCCAGAGCAAGCACUUGCCAUGAGCCACUGGAACUGACUACAGAGAAACACAAAACAAUGCAAUAUCUAGGCUUUGUUUCAGGAAUUGGGCAACUUCCUUCAUUCUUAAGUUGUUAAAGGUUCUUAAAGGUUCUGCUUGCCGCUGCCCAAAAACAAUAGACAUUUUUUAUUUUAUAACUUUCACGUUAAUUUGUUUGAAAAGAAUUCGAGUCAUCUAUCUUCCCGUUUACUUUAAAAGUGCAGUAUCACAUUAUUUAUACGGUCUCACUAAUAAUAGGGAACAAUAUUUUAGAUUUAGUAAGGCACAACCUUGUCAUAUAUCACUUUAUUUAUUAUGUUAAAGUAAUCUAUUACUUAAUUUUUGAUACUUCCCAGGAGAGAUAGGGAUCUAAAUGCCCAUAUGUUAGAAUGAUCCAUCAGAUAUGGGAAGCAUAAUAGAUUGUAUCUUUAGAACUAAGAUCACUGCUGGAUGUUAAUCAUUUUAGUAAUGCUUUGGAAACCCUUAGCUUGCCUCCACCUUGAUGUCUCUAAGGGGUUUCAUCCUAGAAACAGGUCACGUUGACUUGAGGGACCUGGUGACCCUAUUACCCCCUCUUUGCGGGUUUGAGUGGGAGGUGUUACAAUGUCCACAGUAUUGUGUCUGUUCUUGUUCCUUCUUACUGGACUACCACCCACAUUUAUGAUGUGGCUACUACAUGUGACUGGCCCUGUUUGUGGACACUUCCAUUGACAGUCCUCCCUAACGACUGACAUGCUGGCUUCAUUACCAGAACGUUAUUGUCAAAAUAACAUUGUCAUGUCAGUUGGUUAUUUUUAGUAAGGUUGCGACGAGAGGUUACUUGUUACCACUCUUCCCUUUAUGAACAAUGAAUGGCAGAUCAUUCUGUUUUAGCUCUCGUUGAAGUUGCACAAAAGUGCAAAAAAAUGCAUCAGGCAUUCUGCUUAUUUGAUUUUAAAUUCACAGUUGGGCACCGAGUGUUGCUAUAUAGUUAGCAGCUGGAGCCCGUUUUAGGGUGACUACAGCUUUCAGACAGAUUGUGGAUGGAGAAGAGUAUGUGUGUUCUUGAGAUAGUUUGACUAUAGAUAUAUACCUAGGCCUAAUUAAAGUAAAUGUGCUAUAUACUUGAGAUGGAUUUGCCUUUCUCUCUACUGCGAUUCCAACUGACGCACUCUGUAAAUCGAACUAUAAGUUUGUUAUAGUUGCAAUGUGUGUGCUACAGUAUAACACUAAAGUAACGUUGACUAAUUGCAUUACCUAUACAAUUGUAAGGGCAUUUUAAGGUUUUGUAAUGUUUUCCUAGAUACAUUUAGUUAGUUACCGGUUGAAGGAUAGCUAAAUUUAUAUAACAGGGCAGAGUAUGAAACCUAAAUGUUGCCUAAUUACGCCUUGCUCUUAUCCAGUGAUUCAGACACCGUCCUGUCCAAGUGGAACAAGUUAAUUUUAUUGCCAAUUUAGGACAGCUAGUUUCCUGUAUAAACAUAAAUUAAUGAGGUUAUGCAAUUGUAAGGAACAAGUAGGCUAUACCCUUAAAGGGAAUAUCAAUGAGUCUAUAGAACACUUUACAUUUACAAUACAGUUUUGCCUAACUAUUGAUUACAUGGCCUCAUUCCUCCCCAUUCUUAUCCCAAGAUACCUCCUUGCUUAAAAUUCUAAGUCAGGUCACCAUGGCAACUAAUAUUUUUGUCCUGGCACCUGGGAUUUUCUGGCCCAUUCAGUGGUUGUCUGCCUAUGAGUGGAGGAGGGGCCGGCCAGCUCAUAAAGAGAAAAGGCGUGCGGUCAGCUCAGUCAGUUGGCCUGCUGAGGGAGAGCAUGGGUGUCCAGGCGGUCAGCUAAGGAAGAGUAUGGGCGUGCAGGCGGUCAGCCAGCUGAGGGUGAGUGUGGGCAGGAUGCUCCUGGAGGAUUGAAGCAGACGGGUAGGCAUGCGAGGGAGUUGUCAUUCCUGCCCAGGCAUCACUAAACACUAUGGAGCAGAGCAGGGAGAUGACCGAAGUCACACUGGACCACUCAAGCUUUCCCAAGGGUAGGGGAGGCUGGGUGGUCACAAAUGUGACAAAUGUGUGUGACAAAAUGUCUUUGAUUAUUGCAGUGACAGUGAAUGAGUGUAUUUCAGUCAGUAUGUGUACAUGUGUAUCAGUGAGUGUGUUUAGAUUACGGGUCCCCUUCAAUCACAUGGGAAUGGGGUUUUUACUCUUUUUUUUCCCCCCAUUGCCGUUCUGGCCUUAGCUGGCCCUGUCUCCAUGACUGCGAUCAUCAAUCUUGAUCAUCUCAGCCAAGUCAAUGCUUUACCAUAGGAAAGCAUUUGGUGGCUAUUGCGCAUGUGUGGCAAAAUGCCUCACUACGCCAAUCAGCAUCUCCUCAUAGAGAUGCAUUGAAUCAAUGCAUCUCAAAGGUGAACGUUCAUUCUGCGUUGAGACGCUAAAUGUAGGUGCUGCGCACUGUACACUCUACAGGUCGUCUGAGUGACUGGCACUAGUAGGGUUACUAGGCAACAAUGUUAUUUACUCUAAAAAGGUCGGAUUUACAUGAAAAAGUGUUCAGUGACAGGUUACAGAAACGAUAACUACAUUACAUGGUUCAAUACUUUUUUUUUUUUUUGCUGGUUCCUAGAUUCAAAGCAGAUUUGUCAAGCCCUAAUCUAGAUUUACUCUAGGGCAGUGGUUCCCAAAUCAGGAUUUGUGUAUUUCACUGUUUAAUUCCAAUAGAGAUAUGGACAACACCUGGACUGUUGGUGGGGUUUGGCAGAGUUCUUUAUUGGUUAUCUGUGUAUUCAUAUUGAACAAUAGCAGCUUUCACCUAACCCACACUCAUUUUGUUUUAUUAAAUGAGGGUUUCUUAGGUUUUCCUUUUUUGGUUCAUGUCUUUGGUUAAGUGCUACAAUAAAUUAAAUAAGAUUUGUAAUGGAAGAUCCUUUUUUCCUCCUUUGUAGGAGUAAUUAUUGAACAUGUUUUUUUUUGGAUUAUCCCAAAGCUUGGCCCCUGAUAGACACUAUUGGCUCAGAAAAUAAAUAAGGUCACCCAAAAGGGUCCAAGAGUGGAGCUACUGAAUGUAAAAAUAAAUAUGUCUGCAUUUUAGAACAGCAAACAAAAUGGAUUCCAGAAUCAGAGUCCACUACUUCAGUUAAACAUUCUGAGUGUUUUCAGGAAUCCC
This is a non-coding RNA of Pelobates cultripes (western spadefoot toad), 3584 nucleotides long. The record is from the annotation of a GenBank genome assembly. Lineage: Eukaryota; Metazoa; Chordata; Amphibia; Anura; Pelobatidae.